GGAUUUGACACUUUGAUGUCCUCUGUUUUAUACUUGCAUGUUGCCUUCCAUGAGCUUUUGACUGUUUUCUGUUCAGCCCUGCAUGCUGUCGCUACUUGUAUAUAUCGUCGCAUUAAAAUUUCUUGAUUGAUCAGAAGAGCUUCUUUGUGGUGGUGGUGCCAUUAUUGCUUAUAAAUUUUUUAUGUAGGUAAAAAUGCUUUGGCAUUGACGUCAUGUAAUUAGAUGUAACAGUGGCAACUCGUACGCCCAAGGAGAGAGAUGGAGCUAGCUUUAGCCUUAUUUUGAACUAAUCUCAGGGGUAAGGUUUGAGCACACAGAUCUCAGGUGUACUAGGAGAUGGAGCGAUCCAUUGGUGAUGCGUACGACUCUGUUUUGACAGGGGUCACACUGGGUGCAAGCAUCGGCUGCGGCGCUGAGUUUUCAGAAGGGGGGUUGGUCCAGAGGCAAAUGUGAACCAGGCUGCGUCUGCACGAUCAGAUGGGAGUGUUGUUUCCCGCAUGUCGAAUGGAUCAUUUCAGAGCUCGCCAGUUCACGGCCAUGCGCUGGUGGCUACUGUCUACAUCGAUGAUAAGCUUCAUGUUGAUCCGGAGGCUGCUAUGGAACCAGAAGCAGGUGAAGUGGAGGGGACUGGCGAGCACGAUCCAACUGCUACCGUCUCUGCUAACUCAUGGCCAUGACAGCGAGCAAUGGCAGCAGAGGAAUCUUGCAGUGGAAGGAUGCGGGAGGAGCUGAAUUAAUGGGUGCCGUGGGGGGACGUCCGUUUGGUGGCUGACGACUGAGCCGUGGCUCAUGAUGCAACUCUUCAUCUGAGCCGUGGUUGUGACAAUGACGGCCGUUGCAUUUAAUGCGGUGGUUGAGUGGGCCACAACCUGCGAAAAAGCCCGGCAUACUCCUCCAAAUACAGAGUAAAAUACUGACAGUGGUCCAAAUCUUAGCGCUACACAACGGCUGAGAUAAAGGGAACAUCUGAGCUCGAGCUCAGAAUAUGACUUUUGAGCUCGAAGCAGAUGAUUUGAAGGCGGCUCCGGGUUAUGGCACUGGCCAGAGACGGUUUGGGAUGCGGCAGUGCGCAAGGCAGCCCGGCGCAGUGGAGCCAAAGGAUGGGCAACGCGCAAGGCGGCCCGGCGGCUCAGGAGGCUGGGGCACAGCGCGGCAAGGCUUGGCGGCGGUUUGGAUCCCGAUGGAGAUGCAGACGGAGGAGCGGCCGAGCCCGUAGCUGACAAUAACGGGCGGGUCAACCCGGACCGUGUCAAACCGCUUGCGCCGGGGCGGUUUAGUACAGUCAUAGACGUUGACUUGGAGCAAGGAUGUUGCAGGGUUAAGAUCAGAGCAGCUCAGGUGUGGCGGUUCAAGGUCACAGCGGGGCGACUCACAGGCUCAUGCGAGGCCGUUUUGAAGAUGGUUGGCAGCAGCGCGAUGACCCGCCGUGGUGCGCCGGAACAGCAGCAGGUACCACGCAGUGGGAGACACAGCCGGUAACCCAUUGUCAGCGGUUCCGCGAUUUAAUCCGGAGAGGUUCCAAGGCAGGAGAUCGACCCAGCGGCGGCUCAGCAGUGAAACAAGGCAGAUCAAAGCCGCGAAAAAGCAGUAACGGCCGAACAGCAUGAGGUCAAAAACGGCUCGGUGACGUUGUACGCUCAUGACCCAAUCCUUCUCCGAGUCAUUAUUGGUUUGAUUUUGAUCACGAAAAACAUGGUCGCGGAAAACAUGCCGGAGCUGCGGCUUGCUGACAGUGGUCGUAACUGGGUCGCAAAAAACAUGCCGGACGCUGGUCCAUGCCAUUAGUAGCAGCUAUAUUUGUGCACCUCCUAA
Molecule: non-coding RNA, 1812 nt
Organism: Triticum urartu
Lineage: Eukaryota; Viridiplantae; Streptophyta; Magnoliopsida; Poales; Poaceae
Source: RefSeq, a predicted model, not a curated record